GCCGUGUUUGUGUGUGUGUGUGUGUAUGUAUCUAUAUCUAUAUAUAUAUAUAUAUAUGUAUAUAUAUAUAUAUAUAGAUAUAGAUAUAUAUACACACACACACACACAUACACUGCUG
Molecule: microRNA precursor, 118 nt
Filed under: Pelobates cultripes (western spadefoot toad)
Lineage: Eukaryota; Metazoa; Chordata; Amphibia; Anura; Pelobatidae
Source: RNAcentral